GACGCCUAACUGGUCUGAGAGGACCAUCACGUCACACUGGAACUGAGACACGGUCCAGACUCCUACGGGAGGCAGCAGUGGGGGAUAUUGCACUAUGGGGGAAACCCCUGAUGCAGCAACGCCGCGUGGUAGGUAAGUACGCAUUUCGGUGUGUAAACUCCUUUUAUAUAGGAAGAUAAUGACGGUACUAUAUGACAUAAGCACCGGCUAACUCCGUGCCAGCAGCCGCGGUAAUACGGAGGGUGCAUAGCGUUACUCGGAAUCACUGGGCGUAAAGCGCACGCAGGCGGCUAAAUAAGUUGGAAGUGAAAUCCACUGGCUCAACCAGUGAACUGCUUCCACAACACUGUUUGGCUAGAGUCUGGGAGGGGCAAGAUGGAAUUAGUGGUGUAGGGGUAAAAUCCGUAGAGAUCACUAGGAAUACCAAAAGCGAAGGCGAUCUUCUGGAACAGUACUGACGCUGAGGUGCGAAAGCGUGGGGAGCAAACAGGAUUAGAUACCCUGGUAGUCCACGCAGUAAACGCUGAAUGUUAGUCGUCGGUGUGCUAGUCACAUCGGUGAUGCAGUUAACACAUUAAACAUUCCGCCUGGGGAGUACGGUCGCAAGAUUAAACUCAAAGGAAUAGACGGGGACCCGCACAAGUGGUGGAGCAUGUGGUUUAAUUCGAAGAUACGCGAAGAACCUUACCUGGCCUUGACAUUGAUAGAAUCUGCUAGAGAUAGCGGAGUGCCCUUCGGGGAGCUUGAAAACAGGUGCUGCACGGCUGUCGUCAGCUCGUGUCGUGAGAUGUUGGGUUAAGUCCCGCAACGAGCGCAACCCUCGUUACUAGUUACUAACGGUUCGGCCGAGGACUCUAGUAAGACUGCCUUCGCAAGGAGGAGGAAGGUGAGGACGACGUCAAGUCAUCAUGGCCCUUACGACCAGGGCGACACACGUGCUACAAUGGGAUGUACAAUGAGACGCAAUACCGCGAGGUGGAGCAAAUCUAUAAAGCAUCUCUCAGUUCGGAUAGCAGUCUGCAACUCGACUGCUUGAAGCUGGAAUCACUAGUAAUCGUAGAUCAGCCAUGCUACGGUGAAUACGUUCCCGGGUCUUGUACUCACCGCCCGUCACACCAUGGGAGUUGAUUUCACCCGAAGCGGGGAAGCUAAACUGGCUACCCUCCACGGUGGA
This 1174-nucleotide ribosomal RNA is filed under the name uncultured bacterium. RNAcentral describes it as "bacterial SSU rRNA". It matches the Rfam family "Bacterial small subunit ribosomal RNA", at positions 278 to 1466 of the family's 1533-position model. The record is from RNAcentral.